GGCGUUGAAGCAUGAUCGUAAGGACAUGUGGAGCGCUUAGAAGUGAGAAUGCCGGUGUGAGUAGCGAAAGACGGGUGAGAAUCCCGUCCACCGAUUGACUAAGGUUUCCAGAGGAAGGCUCGUCCGCUCUGGGUUAGUCGGGUCCUAAGCUGAGGCCGACAGGCGUAGGCGAUGGAUAACAGGUUGAUAUUCCUGUACCACCUAUAAUCGUUUUAAUCGAUGGGGGGACGCAGUAGGAUAGGCGAAGCGUGCGAUUGGAUUGCACGUCUAAGCAGUAAGGCUGAGUAUUAGGCAAAUCCGGUACUCGUUAAGGCUGAGCUGUGAUGGGGAGAAGACAUUGUGUCUUCGAGUCGUUGAUUUCACA
RNAcentral lists this ribosomal RNA (364 nucleotides) under Staphylococcus aureus. RNAcentral's name for it is "bacterial LSU rRNA". It matches the Rfam family "Bacterial large subunit ribosomal RNA", at positions 1246 to 1604 of the family's 2925-position model. The record is from RNAcentral. Lineage: Bacteria; Bacillati; Bacillota; Bacilli; Caryophanales; Staphylococcaceae.